This 595-nucleotide antisense RNA is filed under the name Gordonia amarae NBRC 15530. RNAcentral's name for it is "Saccharopolyspora sRNA 389". It matches the Rfam family "Saccharopolyspora sRNA 389". Lineage: Bacteria; Bacillati; Actinomycetota; Actinomycetes; Mycobacteriales; Gordoniaceae. The record is from Rfam by way of RNAcentral.
ACGAGCCCGGUGGACGUUUUGUGCAGGAAGUCACGGCGGGCAUCACGGACCCGCGCAUGUUUGCGGGCAACCUUCUUGCGCUGCUUGGCGCGAUUGCUCGACCCACGCUUCAUGCGCGCCAAGCGCUUCUGCUGGCGGCGCAAACCCCGUUCGUGCCGGGCAAGGUGACGCGGAUUCGCAAUCUUCUCUCCAGUGGAGAGGGUGGCGAAGUCCUUGAUACCCAGGUCAACACCGACGCUCUGGCCGGUCGGCAUGGCUGGUGCCGGAUCGGGCUGGUCGACACACAAAGUGGCGAACCAUCGGCCAUCGGGUUCGCGGGAGAUCACGACCAUCGUCGGGUCCAGCUCGGCAAGCUCAAUGUCGGGCCAGGACCAGGCCAGUCUCAGCGGAGCAGACGUUUUGGCCAGCCACAGGCCGUCGACCUUCAUGCGGAACGCCGACCGGGUGUAGUGCGCGCACUGACGUCCGUUGCGGGACUUGAACUUCGGGUACCGGGCACGGCCUUUGAAAAAGUUGCUGAAGGCGGUGUGCUGGUGUCGCAGCGUUUGCUGCAACGGCACCGACGACACCUCAUUCAGGAACGCCAGCUCAUCGG